GAAAAAACAAACAAAAAC
RNAcentral lists this small RNA (18 nucleotides) under Arabidopsis thaliana (thale cress). RNAcentral describes it as "ATSL302850". The record is from RNAcentral. Lineage: Eukaryota; Viridiplantae; Streptophyta; Magnoliopsida; Brassicales; Brassicaceae.